GCUCACCCCAAAUAGCCCAUCUCUGGAUUGCUGAUCUGAUCCUGAGGAACAGCUUGUGAGGGAUGACAUCAUGGUUGCUGGGAGGUGGGGCUUUGUGCAUCUAUUCUGCUGACUCAUGGAACUCACCAUAUGAAGCCAUGCUUACAGGGUAAUGGCCACCAAAGACCCAGAGAGGUUUCCCUGGACACCUGCAGACCCAAGUGAGGACCAGUCAGCACAGUUGUCCAGACUCCCAAACAAGUUCAAGUGAAAGGGUUGGUAAUGCCUCCUUCACAGACCCUAUCUAUAAUUUCUUCCGGGACAGGGCCAGCCCAUACACUUUAUUUCUGAUCCAGAACUAAACUGCGGAACAUCAGAUCAGCUAGAUGCUAGAAGCUGCUGUGGUUUCCAAGCUGCCUCGUUCAUUAUUGGAAAGAAAUCCCGACCCCAGUCACACACAGGCCAAAGGAGCCUCAAGACCCUUGCUGAGUUCUGGCACCGCCAUGGGAUUCUCACUCAAGCUAAUCUCCAUGGCAAGCCUUGAUGCCCCAAACAGACUCCCAGUUCAGCACUGAGCAGUUUUAUGACUUACCUGAUUU
Long non-coding RNA from Hipposideros armiger (great roundleaf bat), 578 nucleotides. RefSeq lists it as uncharacterized. The record is from RefSeq and is a predicted model, not a curated record. The transcript has 3 exons. NCBI's taxonomy places the organism in Eukaryota, Metazoa, Chordata, Mammalia, Chiroptera, Hipposideridae.